GCUUCCAUGUUCAAACAUGAUAAGUAUGUAUACUUCUUUGAGGUUCAAAUUCUACAGAUGUUGCAUAAUAUUGGUGACAAAGUGCCUCUCCUUAGGGAUUGAUUUAAACCGCAUAUGAGCUACUAAAACAAUUGUUUUGCUGUUCAAACAUGAAAUUCUAGUUCUUUGUUUCAAACAUCGAAAUGUUGUUUACCUUGUCCUUCGAUGCUUAGAUGGUAAAAAUGUCGCAUUUAUAGGAUUGUACACCUGAUGUGAUCGGAGUAGGAUUUACUCGCUGCUCACAGUUACUACUUGUAUUCAUUGAUUUAUAUGCCUCAUUUUGGUUGUUUUACUCUCAUUUACACAGACAAACUGCCUACAAGUUAGUGUGCUGUUAGAUUUUCUUUUAUUUUGUUCUUAACCAUUUUGUCUGAUAACUUGCAGAUGUUGGCCUACAUUCAUGUUUCGUCGCAAGGUCCAGGACCAAGAAGUCAGGAGAAGCACAAAGUUCUUGAUCAUUGGAGCUAGUUAUUGUUUUGAUUUUUUAGUUGUGUUACCUGAUGUGAACUAGUUUUGAUUGUAAACCUGAUGCGAACCAUGUUUGAUUGAAAUGUGCCAAGUUUGGAUAUGUUUGAUUGUAUUCAUGAUGUGACACAUGUUCAAGUUAUAAUGGUUGUUUGACAUAUUUUGUAAUUUCUGAUGUGUG
RNAcentral lists this long non-coding RNA (685 nucleotides) under Hordeum vulgare. Its description in RNAcentral is "long non-coding RNA (HVUL_LNC015651)". Lineage: Eukaryota; Viridiplantae; Streptophyta; Magnoliopsida; Poales; Poaceae. The record is from RNAcentral.